UGGGGAAUUUUGCACAAUGGGGGAAACCCUGAUGCAGCGACGCCGCGUGAUUUAGAAGGCCUUCGGGUUGUAAAAAUCUUUUCUAUGGGAAGAAAAUGACAGUACCAUAGGAAUAAGGACCGGCUAAUUACGUGCCAGCAGCCGCGGUAAUACGUAAGGUCCGAGCGUUGUCCGGAAUCAUUGGGCGUAAAGGGUACGUAGGCGGCCCAGUAAGUUAGAAGUGAAAUAAUAUAGCUCAACUAUAUAAAGCUUUUAAAACUGCUAGGCUUGAGAGAUGGAAGGGAAAGUGGAAUUCCUAGUGUAGCGGUGAAAUGCGCAGAUAUUAGGAAGAAUACCGGUGGCGAAGGCGACUUUCUGGUCAUAAUCUGACGCUGAGGUACGAAAGCGUGGGUAGCAAACAGG
This 402-nucleotide ribosomal RNA is filed under the name Bacteroidota bacterium. RNAcentral describes it as "Bacteroidetes bacterium partial 16S ribosomal RNA". It matches the Rfam family "Bacterial small subunit ribosomal RNA", at positions 355 to 776 of the family's 1533-position model. Lineage: Bacteria; Pseudomonadati; Bacteroidota. The record is from RNAcentral.